GGCCUAAUACAUGCAAGUCGAACGGUUGGUAGCAAUACCAAUAGUGGCGCACGGGUGCGUAACGCGUAACCAACCUACCCGAAUCUGGGGGAUAGCCCGCCGAAAGGCGGAUUAAUACCGCAUAAAACUGCAGCCUGGCAUCAGGUAACAGUUAAAGAUUUAUUGGAUUCGGAUGGGGUUGCGUGCCAUUAGCUAGUUGGCGGGGUAACGGCCCACCAAGGCGACGAUGGCUAGGGGAGCUGAGAGGCUGGUCCCCCACACGGGCACUGAGAUACGGGCCCGACUCCUACGGGAGGCAGCAGUAGGGAAUAUUGGGCAAUGGGCGAGAGCCUGACCCAGCCAUGCCGCGUGCAGGAUGAAGGCUUUCUGAGUCGUAAACUGCUUUUACCAGGGAAAAAAAAAGGGGAUGCGUCCUCUACUGACGGUACCUGGUGAAUAAGCACCGGCUAACUCCGUGCCAGCAGCCGCGGUAAUACGGAGGGUGCAAGCGUUGUCCGGAUUUAUUGGGUUUAAAGGGUGCGUAGGCGGCUGAUUAAGUCUGGGGUGAAAGCCCGUUGCUCAACAACGGAACUGCCCUGGAAACUGGUUAGCUUGAGUACAGACGAGGGUGGCGGAAUGGAUACUGUAGCGGUGAAAUGCAUAGAUAGUAUCCAGAACCCCGAUUGCGAAGGCAGCUGCCUAGACUGUAACUGACGCUGAGGCACGAAAGCGUGGGGAGCG
RNAcentral lists this ribosomal RNA (720 nucleotides) under uncultured bacterium. RNAcentral describes it as "bacterial SSU rRNA". It matches the Rfam family "Bacterial small subunit ribosomal RNA", at positions 45 to 770 of the family's 1533-position model. The record is from RNAcentral.